Molecule: ribosomal RNA, 253 nt
Filed under: uncultured bacterium
Lineage: Bacteria
Description: partial 16S ribosomal RNA
Rfam family: Bacterial small subunit ribosomal RNA
Source: RNAcentral
UACGUAGGGUGCAAGCGUUAAUCGGAAUUACUGGGCGUAAAGCGUGCGCAGGCGGUGAAGUAAGUCAGAUGUGAAAUCCCCGGGCUCAACCUGGGAACUGCAUUUGUGACUGCAACGCUGGAGUGCGGCAGAGGGGGAUGGAAUUCCGCGUGUAGCAGUGAAAUGCGUAGAUAUGCGGAGGAACACCGAUGGCGGAGGCAAUCCCCUGGGCCUGCACUGACGCUCAUGCACGAAAGCGUGGGGAGCAAACAGG